Culex quinquefasciatus (southern house mosquito) is the source of this 728-nucleotide long non-coding RNA. RefSeq lists it as uncharacterized. The transcript has 2 exons. NCBI's taxonomy places the organism in Eukaryota, Metazoa, Arthropoda, Insecta, Diptera, Culicidae. The record is from RefSeq and is a predicted model, not a curated record.
AUAUAUUUAAUUUUUUCUUGUUGUAGGUAAGUAGUUGUAUGUAUGAUAUGUAACAUAAUCAUUCUUACCUUUGACUUCCCAAGUAACCAUCCAGCACUUAAAAAAGUCAUAAAAUAGCAAUAAAUCGGCAUUCUAUUGCUGAUUAGUCUUCCAACAGCAUUUGUUAAUGCAAAUCAGCACUAAAUCAUUAGCAUUGUCAAAAGCUAAGAUAAUGCCGAUUUAGUGCCGCUACUAGCAACACUUCUAAAAAUUUCCAUCAAACUGGCAACACGAUUCUGACUUUGAAUGAAGUGUGAAAGAGAGAGUACCAGAGUAAACAAACUUCUUGCUCACUCUUGCAGUCACUCAUUCAGAAUUUUUUUGUACAGAAGUUGUUUUUUAAUAUAUAUUUAGGUGUUUUAUCAUUUUUUAAAGAAUAAUCCAUCGUCUCAAUGAUGGAGAACUUCAAACAGCCGUCCCCGCGAGUCCCGCUCGGGUGUUACUUCAGCGGUUGGCCCACAAGAAGUCCGGAAUUUGCAAGAGGCAGUGGCAUCGAGUUUCAGGACAGAUUCAGAUGCACCGUCGAAUGCUAUGACCCGCAUGACGUCAUCGUCAACAACGGAGAAUGAGCUAGGUUGCUACCCUAAACCGGGAGGGAGUUGUUUUGGUUUUCGUGUGACGUGCUUGGCAAAUAAAUGUAAAAAUAAAGUAAAUUCACUUUCAUUAAAAUGGAGACAUUAGUUUUAUAA